ACUAGCCUAGGAUUAAUAUCAGCCCAUUUUUUGGAGGAGAACCAACAAGACUGGCUAUUUGACUGGAUCCCCCAAUUGGUUUACUCCAAGAUUCCUCUUCAUUGGCUUAAGAAGAUACAAGACAGGAGUCUCCAAUCCUUAGACCAUGGACCAAUAUCAACCAUGGCCAGUUAGCAACCCGGUAACAAAGCAGGAGCAGCCCUGAGAAGUAAAUACUGUUGCUGUCAUCCCUAUUUUACAAAUGAGGAAACAAAAAUAGAGAAAUGAAGCAAUUUGUCCAAGAUCACUCUGCUGGCAAGCAACAGAACCAGGAGUUUAACCCAGAUCAUAGCAGAGAACAAACAAGGAGGAGGAAGAACAGGAGGAGGAGGGGGAAAAGAGGAGGAAGAAGAAAGAAAGAUUAAAGAAGAAGAAAGAAGGAAGGAGGAGGGGAGAAAAAGAAAAUAAUAAUAAUGAUAGUCUCAAUUUUAGACUAUUAUGUACCAUAUUAAGGACUUAACAUUCACUCCCUCACUCAUACAUUUUUUCAAGUUGCCGUUCUGCGGAAAACACUCUGCACAGUGGGACUAUGGGGGCACAUGGUCAGCCAAGCACCAUUCCAUAAAGGGACUAAGUGACAGAACAGACUGGAUGUGAGAUGGCAACUGUACUUCAGGUACUUUUCCAAGAAAGGGAGUUUCUUGACCCAAAAAAGAUAGGCAUUUUAUCUUAACUGAUUUUAAUGCAUAAAGAACCUGACCAACAGUUCACACAUUCCUCCUGGAGAGAAGUCAGGAUGAGGAGAUUUUAAAAAAAAGCUUUCCCUACAAUUCCAGGAAGAAAUUACUCUUCUAGGCCACCAGGAUGGUGGUGGUAAUCGAGCAAAUGCAUGCAAACCUUGAUGCAACUGCUAACUUUUACCAAAAAAGAAACUGAUUUUCUACUGACUGACUUCCUCCGUUUUGGCUUUAAAGUCAGCCAUUAGGCAUCUAUUGCUGUCAUAUUCCCCAUGGGUCUUAGGUUGGACCAUCUGUUCUUACAAACAUCCUAAAAGAAACAAUAGGCCAGGCACGGUGGCUCGUGCCUGUAAUCCCAGCACUUUGGGAGGUUGAGGCAGGUGGAUCACAAAGUCAGGAGCUCA
This 1120-nucleotide long non-coding RNA is filed under the name Homo sapiens (human). Its description in RNAcentral is "HSALNT0356780". The record is from RNAcentral. Lineage: Eukaryota; Metazoa; Chordata; Mammalia; Primates; Hominidae.